RNAcentral lists this transfer RNA (67 nucleotides) under Prevotella sp. RNAcentral's name for it is "tRNA-OTHER". The record is from RNAcentral. Lineage: Bacteria; Pseudomonadati; Bacteroidota; Bacteroidia; Bacteroidales; Prevotellaceae.
GCCCAGAUGGCGGAAUAGGUAGACGCGCUGGUCUCAAACANNGGUUCGAGCCCGGGUCUGGGUACCA